RNAcentral lists this ribosomal RNA (305 nucleotides) under uncultured bacterium. Its description in RNAcentral is "bacterial SSU rRNA". It matches the Rfam family "Bacterial small subunit ribosomal RNA", at positions 334 to 655 of the family's 1533-position model. The record is from RNAcentral.
UUUGCCUACGGGACGCAGCAGUGGGGAAUAUUGCACAAUGGGGGAAACCCUGAUGCAGCGACGCCGCGUGAGUGAAGAAGUAUUUCGGUAUGUAAAGCUCUAUCAGCAGGGAAGAAAAAAGACGGUACCUGACUAAGAAGCCCCGGCUAACUACGUGCCAGCAGCCGCGGUAAUACGUAGGGGGCAAGCGUUAUCCGGAUUUACUGGGUGUAAAGGGGGCGCAGACGGCAAUGCAAGCCAGGAGUGAAAGCCCGGGGCCCAACCCCGGGACUGCUCUUGGAACUGCAUGGCUGGAGUACAGGAGG